AAUAACCUUGGGUUUCAAGCAAGUUACAAUACUGCCACCGUAAAUAAUCUCAUUUUGCCUUUUUCUCUCCAUCCACCCCCGCAAUCUCAAGUCUGUCUCUCUCCAGUAACCACACCGCAGGCCGCUGUCAUCAUCGUCGACGGUCGUCGUCAUCAUUGCGCGUUCAGCAACGCGGCAACUCCUCUGUAGCCACAAACUCCGUUCGACGGCCAUCCUCAUCAUCGUUGACGGUGAUUUUUAAUUUAGAUCUGGGUUACUCAUUUCUUACUGCUGCAGUUUCAGUAUAUUGCUGAUAAGCCAAAACAUUGUGAUGGGAAAGAAAAAAUCCGAUGAUAGUGGAGUGGCAGCCAAAGGUAAGGCCAACAGCAAAGAUUCUGCCAAAGAUGGGAAGAAAGAAAAGCUCUCUGUGUCAGCCAUGCUUGCGAGCAUGGACCAGAAACCUGAUAAAGCCAGGAAAGGAUCAACUUCCUUGAGCUCUGGUUCUAGUAAGCCCAAAGCAAAAGCACCUGUUAAACCAUCUUAUAUGGAUGGCGUUGAUCUCCCUCCUUCAGAUGAGGAUGGUGAUUAUGACUCCGAAGAAGAGCAACAACAGAAUGAUGUCCAUAAAUCUGGCAGGCAGCAAAGAGGUGAGGCCAAGUCUCUUGACAUUUCUAUAACUGAUAAAGAAUUGAAGAAACGGGAAAAGAAGGAAAUGCUAGUUACCCAAUUUGCCGAGCAGGCCAAGCAGGAAGCCCUAAAGGAUGAUCAUGAUGCCUUUACAGUUGUUAUUGGUAGUCGUGCAUCUAUUCUGGAUGGUGAAAAUGAAGCUGAUGCUAAUGUGAAAGAUAUAACUGUAGAUAAUUUCUCUGUGUCAGCUCGUGGGAAAGAACUUCUAAAGAAUGCAUCAGUGAAAAUAUCUCAUGGGAAGAGGUAUGGAUUGGUUGGACCCAAUGGAAAGGGCAAAUCUACCCUAUUAAAGCUCCUAGCUUGGAGAAAGAUUCCAGUUCCUAAAAAUAUAGAUGUGCUUUUGGUUGAACAAGAGGUUGUUGGUGAUGAUAAAACUGCCCUUGAAGCAGUUGUUUCGGCUAAUGAGGAGCUCAUCAAUCUCCGACGCGAGGCUGCAUCUUUGCAAGAUGCACCCUCUGCUGCGGAGUUUGAGGAUGAAAAUGAUGAUGGCCAUGGGGAUGAUGCAGGAGAGAAACUUGCUGAAUUGUAUGAAAAAUUGCAGCUGAUGGGGUCUGAUGCUGCCGAGUCUCGGGCAUCAAAAAUUCUUGCUGGUUUGGGUUUCACCAAAGAAAUGCAGGGCCGCCCUACCCAGUCAUUUAGUGGUGGCUGGAGGAUGAGAAUUUCAUUAGCUAGGGCACUUUUUGUGCAGCCAACACUAUUGUUGUUGGAUGAACCAACCAAUCAUCUUGACCUGCGGGCUGUUCUCUGGUUGGAGGAGUACUUGUGCCGCUGGAAGAAAACUCUUGUUGUUGUCUCGCAUGACCGUGAUUUCCUUAAUACAGUCUGCAACGAGAUUAUUCACCUCCAUGACCUGAAACUUCACGUGUACCGUGGGAAUUUUGAUGAUUUUGAAAGUGGUUAUGAGCAGCGCAGAAAAGAGAUGAACAAGAAAUUUGAGAUUUAUGAAAAGCAGGUCAAAGCUGCCAAGAGGUCUGGGAAUCGGGUAGAGCAAGAGAAGGUCAAGAGUCGAGCUAAAUUUGCUGCUGCCAAAGAAGCAUCAAAGAGUAAGGCAAAGGGCAAGGUUGAUGACGAUGAACCCUUGCAGGAGGCCCCCCAUAAAUGGAGAGAUUACACUGUGGAGUUCCAUUUCCCUGAACCCACUGAGCUCACCCCCCCACUUUUGCAGCUAAUUGAAGUCAGCUUCAGUUAUCCAAACAGGGAGGAUUUCAGGCUCUCUAAUGUUGAUGUUGGUAUUGAUAUGGGUACUCGUGUCGCUAUAGUUGGACCAAAUGGAGCUGGGAAAUCUACAUUGCUAAAUCUUCUAGCUGGGGACUUGUUCCCAAGUGAGGGCGAAGUGAGGAGGAGCCAAAAAUUGAGGAUUGGGCGAUAUUCACAACACUUUGUUGAUCUUCUAACAAUGGGUGAAACACCAGUCCAGUAUCUUCUUCGGCUUCAUCCUGAUCAAGAGGGAUUGAGUAAGCAAGAGGCUGUCCGUGCAAAGCUUGGAAAAUUUGGACUCCCUAGUCAUAACCACCUCACGCCCAUUGCAAAAUUAUCUGGUGGUCAGAAAGCUCGUGUUGUUUUCACUUCAAUCUCGAUGUCAAAGCCGCACAUUUUGCUAUUGGAUGAGCCCACAAAUCACUUGGAUAUGCAGAGUAUUGAUGCACUGGCUGAUGCACUUGAUGAGUUCACAGGUGGAGUUGUCUUGGUUAGCCAUGAUUCGAGAUUAAUAUCACGGGUUUGUGAAGAUGAAGAAAGAAGCCAGAUUUGGGUGGUGGAGGAUGGAACUGUGAGGACCUUCCCUGGCACUUUCGACGAAUACAAGGAAGAGCUACUAAAGGAAAUUAGAGCAGAGGUUGAGGAUUAAAAUGGCCUACAUGCAAUAGGCACUGCCUUGAUGAUAUGUUAAGCAGCAUGUCUCCCCUUUCAUGGUAUUGUCAUAUACUGUUCCAAUUUGAUGCUGUUUUGCAGCUGAUUUAAUAUGCCACUAUCUCAUCAGCAAUUCUUAUACAUAUGUUGUACCAAAAUGAUUAGUACUAGGUAUUUGCCGACUACUUUCAUGCAAUUAGCAGCUUCAUUCAGAAUUUAAUCUCUCUCUCUCUCUCUCUCAUACGUUGUGGGCAAAAUUUCUGAUAUUCAGUCCAUUCUGUAUCCAGGACUAGGUCCGACAGCUGAGCAGUAGCCAUGGUCAGGAAGAUAGCGGUUGAGAAAAUCAAGCCAUCAAGAGGAAGAAAAACCUCCCCUACCUUGUAUGAUUUUGGCGAAUCAUGCAACCUUCCAUGGAGAAAUUUUUGGCGUGAGUUCUUUUUCGUUAUUUUUAUUUGUUACUCCAUAUAUAUGCCCUGUUGUAAAAGCAUACAACCCAACAAAUAAUUGGUUUUAGUUUUUAUUCUUCCAUCAUCUUACUGAAGAUGAAGAUAUGAUUUAUACAUAAGAUAAAAGCUAAAUGAUAAGACAAAAGUCUAAUGUACUCGAGAUUAAGAUUUGCUACUGCCAUUGUUGUUGUUA
This is an RNA transcript of Diospyros lotus (date-plum), 3153 nucleotides long. It is a transcript of the gene named ABC transporter F family member 4-like, with no coding region annotated. Lineage: Eukaryota; Viridiplantae; Streptophyta; Magnoliopsida; Ericales; Ebenaceae. The record is from RefSeq and is a predicted model, not a curated record. The transcript is spliced from 5 exons.